Molecule: ribosomal RNA, 373 nt
Filed under: uncultured organism
Description: partial 16S ribosomal RNA
Rfam family: Bacterial small subunit ribosomal RNA
Source: RNAcentral
GUAGGUGGCAAGCGUUGUCCGGAAUUAUUGGGCGUAAAGCGCGCGCAGGUGGUUCUUUAAGUCUGAUGUGAAAGCCCCCGGCUCAACCGGGGAGGGUCAUUGGAAACUGGGGAACUUGAGUGCAUGAGAGGAAAGUGGAAUUCCACGUGUAGCGGUGAAAUGCGUAGAUAUGUGGAGGAACACCAGUGGCGAAGGCGACUUUCUGGCCUGUAACUGACACUGAGGCGCGAAAGCGUGGGGAGCAAACAGGGAUUAGAUACCCUGGUAGUCCACGCCGUAAACGAUGAGUGCUAAGUGUUGGGGGGGUUUCCGCCCCCUCAGUGCUGCAGCUAACGCAUUAAGCACUCCGCCUGGGAGUACGGUCGCAAGACUG